GAAGUCCCGGCUAACUUCGUGCCAGCAGCCGCGGUAAUACGAAGGGGGCUAGCGUUACUCGGAAUUAUUGGGCGUAAAGCGUGCGUAGGCUGCUUAGUAAGUCAAAAGUGAAAGCCUUGGGCUCAACCUAAGAAUUGCUUUUGAAACUACUAAGCUUGAGUACUGUAGGGGGUAGCGGAAUUCCUAGUGUAGGGGUGAAAUUCGUAGAUAUUAGGAGGAACACCGGAGGCGAAAGCGGUUAUCUGGACAGUCACUGACGCUGUUGCACGAAAGCGUGGGGAGCAAACAGGAUUAGAUACCCUGGUAGUCCACGC
This 314-nucleotide ribosomal RNA is filed under the name Candidatus Midichloria mitochondrii. RNAcentral's name for it is "bacterial SSU rRNA". It matches the Rfam family "Bacterial small subunit ribosomal RNA", at positions 487 to 800 of the family's 1533-position model. The record is from RNAcentral. Lineage: Bacteria; Pseudomonadati; Pseudomonadota; Alphaproteobacteria; Rickettsiales; Candidatus Midichloriaceae.